This 603-nucleotide small RNA is filed under the name Pongo abelii (Sumatran orangutan). Its description in RNAcentral is "retained intron". The record is from RNAcentral. Lineage: Eukaryota; Metazoa; Chordata; Mammalia; Primates; Hominidae.
UUCCAGUCGACUUCUAAAAUCCUGAAAAACCAGUUUUGAGUCAGAGUGCUGAAAGUACUGUCUGAUAUACUACAGUGUUACAGUGGUUACCUCUAGGUGUUAGGAUUAUGAGUGAUUUUAUUUUUUUGUACACCCUUAUUUCUCUCUCAAAGUUUUAUGUUGAAAUUAUAUUCCUUUCAAAAUUAGAAAAAACUGAAUAAGAAACUGUUAUGCUGAUACAUAUAGAAGGAAAAGAAUAUUUCCUCUUCAUUUUCUUCUAUAGCAAAAAGAGAGAUUAUGCUAACACCAGUGACUGUGGCUUAUAGUCCAAAGCGAUCCCCUAAAGAAAACUUGUCCCCAGGAUUUAGUCAUCUGCUUAGCAAAAAUGAGAGCAGUCCAAUUCGAUUUGAUAUACUUUUGGAUGAUUUAGAUACUGUUCCUGUGUCUACAUUACAACGUACCAAUCCAAGAAAGCAACUCCAGUUUCUUCCUCUAGAUGACUCGGAAGAAAAAAUGUAUUCUGAGAAAGCCACCGAUAACCAUGUUAAUCAUAGCUCUUGCCCUGAACCGGUGCCAAAUGGAGUGAAGAAAGUAUCUGUGAGAACAGCCUGGGAGAAGAAUAAA